GCAGUCGAAGCGGGUACCAGAGAGCUUGCUCUCGGGUGACGAGCGGCGGACGGGUGAGUAAUGUCUGGGAAACUGCCUGAUGGAGGGGGAUAACUACUGGAAACGGUAGCUAAUACCGCAUAACGUCGCAAGACCAAAGUGGGGGACCUUCGGGCCUCAUGCCAUCAGAUGUGCCCAGAUGGGAUUAGCUAGUAGGUGGGGUAACGGCUCACCUAGGCGACGAUCCCUAGCUGGUCUGAGAGGAUGACCAGCCACACUGGAACUGAGACACGGUCCAGACUCCUACGGGAGGCAGCAGUGGGGAAUAUUGCACAAUGGGCGCAAGCCUGAUGCAGCCAUGCCGCGUGUGUGAAGAAGGCCUUCGGGUUGUAAAGCACUUUCAGCGGGGAGGAAGGCGUUAAGGUUAAUAACCUUGUCGAUUGACGUUACCCGCAGAAGAAGCACCGGCUAACUCCGUGCCAGCAGCCGCGGUAAUACGGAGGGUGCAAGCGUUAAUCGGAAUUACUGGGCGUAAAGCGCACGCAGGCGGUCUGUCAAGUCGGAUGUGAAAUCCCCGGGCUCAACCUGGGAACUGCAUUCGAAACUGGCAGGCUAGAGUCUUGUAGAGGGGGGUAGAAUUCCAGGUGUAGCGGUGAAAUGCGUAGAGAUCUGGAGGAAUACCGGUGGCGAAGGCGGCCCCCUGGACAAAGACUGACGCUCAGGUGCGAAAAGCGUGGGGAGCAAACAGGAUUAGAUACCCUGGAUAGUCCACGCCCGUAAACGAAUGUCGAUUUUGGAAGGUUGUGCCCCUUGAAGGCGUGGCCUUCCGGAAGCUUAACGCCGUUAAAUCCAACCGCCCUGGGGGAAGUACGGGCCCGCAAGGGUUUAAAAACUUCAAAAUGAAAUUUGACCGGGGGGCCCCGCCACCAAGCCGGUUGGAAGCAAUGUGGGUUUUAAUUUCCGAUUGCCAACCG
This 953-nucleotide ribosomal RNA is filed under the name Klebsiella pneumoniae. Its description in RNAcentral is "bacterial SSU rRNA". The stretch from base 1 to 837 matches the Rfam family "Bacterial small subunit ribosomal RNA", at positions 57 to 873 of the family's 1533-position model. The record is from RNAcentral. Lineage: Bacteria; Pseudomonadati; Pseudomonadota; Gammaproteobacteria; Enterobacterales; Enterobacteriaceae.